GAUGAACGCUGGCGGCGUGCCUAAUACAUGCAAGUCGAGUGAACGGACGAGAAGCUUGCUUCUCUGAUGUUAGCGGCGGACGGGUGAGUAACACGUGGAUAACCUACCUAUAAGACUGGGAUAACUUCGGGAAACCGUAGCUAAUACCGGAUAAUAUUUUGAACCGCAUGGUUCAAAAGUGAAAGACGGUCUUGCUGUCACUUAUAGAUGGAUCCGCGCUGCAUUAGCUAGUUGGUAAGGUAACGGCUUACCAAGGCAACGAUGCAUAGCCGACCUGAGAGGGUGAUCGGCCACACUGGAACUGAGACACGGUCCAGACUCCUACGGGAGGCAGCAGUAGGGAAUCUUCCGCAAAGGGCGAAAGCCUGACGGAGCAACGCCGCGUGAGUGAUGAAAGUCUUCGGAUCGUAAAACUCUGUUAUUAGGGAAGAACAUAUGUGUAAGUAACUGUGCACAUCUUGACGGUACCUAAUCAGAAAGCCACGGCUAACUACGUG
Molecule: ribosomal RNA, 497 nt
Filed under: uncultured bacterium
Lineage: Bacteria
Description: partial 16S ribosomal RNA
Rfam family: Bacterial small subunit ribosomal RNA
Source: RNAcentral